RNAcentral lists this ribosomal RNA (561 nucleotides) under Aphanoascus mephitalis. RNAcentral's name for it is "eukaryotic LSU rRNA". It matches the Rfam family "Eukaryotic large subunit ribosomal RNA", at positions 58 to 632 of the family's 3401-position model. Lineage: Eukaryota; Fungi; Ascomycota; Eurotiomycetes; Onygenales; Onygenaceae. The record is from RNAcentral.
AAAGAAACCAACAGGGAUUGCCUCAGUAACGGCGAGUGAAGCGGCAAAAGCUCAAAUUUGAAAUCUGGCUCCGUUAGGUGCCCGAGUUGUAAUUUGGAGAGGAUACUUCGGGUGUGGCCGCGGCGUAAGUCCCUUGGAACAGGGCGUCAGAGAGGGUGAGAAUCCCGUCUUCCGCCGCCGGACCACGCCCAUGCGAAGUUCCUUCGACGAGUCGAGUUGUUUGGGAAUGCAGCUCUAAGUGGGUGGUAAAUUUCAUCUAAAGCUAAAUAUUGGCCGGAGACCGAUAGCGAACAAGUAGAGUGAUCGAAAGGUUAAAAGCACCUUGAAAAGGGAGUUAAAUAGCACGUGAAAUUGUUGAAAGGGAAGCGCUUGCAGCCAGACUCGGUCAUAGGGGCUCAACGGGCAUGCGUGCCCGUGUACUCCCCUGUGUUCGGGCCAGCAUCAGUUCUGGCGGUUGGUUAAAGGCCCUGGGAAUGUAUCGUCCUCCGGGACGUCUUAUAGCCCAGGGUGUAAUGCGGCCAGCCGGGACUGAGGAACGCGCUUCGGCACGGAUGCUGGCAU